GACGAACGCUGGCGGCGUGCUUAACACAUGCAAGUCGUACGGUAAGGCCCUUUCGGGGGUACACGAGUGGCGAACGGGUGAGUAACACGUGAGUAACCUGCCCACAACUUUGGGAUAACGCUAGGAAACUGGUGCUAAUACUGGAUAUGUGCUCCUGCUGCAUGGUGGGGGUUGGAAAGCUCCGGCGGUUGUGGAUGGACUCGCGGCCUAUCAGCUUGUUGGUGGGGUAGUGGCCUACCAAGGCGGCGACGGGUAGCCGGCCUGAGAGGGUGACCGGCCACAUUGGGACUGAGAUACGGCCCAGACUCCUACGGGAGGCAGCAGUGGGGAAUAUUGCACAAUGGGCGCAAGCCUGAUGCAGCAACGCCGCGUGCGGGAUGACGGCCUUCGGGUUGUAAACCGCUUUCAGCAGGGACGAAGCUUUUUGUGACGGUACCUGCACAAGAAGCACCGGCUAACUACGUG
Molecule: ribosomal RNA, 465 nt
Filed under: uncultured bacterium
Lineage: Bacteria
Description: partial 16S ribosomal RNA
Rfam family: Bacterial small subunit ribosomal RNA
Source: RNAcentral